Molecule: ribosomal RNA, 465 nt
Filed under: uncultured bacterium
Lineage: Bacteria
Description: partial 16S ribosomal RNA
Rfam family: Bacterial small subunit ribosomal RNA
Source: RNAcentral
CCUACGGGAGGCUGCAGUGGGGAAUAUUGCACAAUGGGGGAAACCCUGAUGCAGCAACGCCGCGUGAGUGAUGACGGCCUUCGGAUCGUAAACCUCUGUCAGCAGGGAAGAACGGUCACUGUGCUAAUCAGCAGUGAAUUGACGGUACCUGCAAAGGAAGCACCGGCUAACUCCGUGCCAGCAGCCGCGGUAAUACGGAGGGUGCGAGCGUUAAUCGGAAUUACUGGGCGUAAAGCGCUCGUAGGCGGUAUGUCAAGUCAAGGGUGAAAUCCCCGCGCUCAACGUGGGAACUGCCUUUGAAACUGGCAAACUGGAGUGUGUGAGAGGAUAGUGGAAUUCCAGGUGUAGGAGUGAAAUCCGUAGAUAUCUGGAGGAACAUCAGUGGCGAAGGCGACUAUCUGGCACAUAACUGACGCUGAGGAGCGAAAGCGUGGGUAGCAAACAGGAUUAGAUACCCCUGUAGUC